RNAcentral lists this ribosomal RNA (395 nucleotides) under uncultured soil bacterium. Its description in RNAcentral is "bacterial SSU rRNA". It matches the Rfam family "Bacterial small subunit ribosomal RNA", at positions 26 to 419 of the family's 1533-position model. The record is from RNAcentral.
AGAUUGAACGCUGGCGGAAUGCUUUACACAUGCAAGUCGAACGGCAGCACGGGGGCAACCCUGGUGGCGAGUGGGCGAACGGGUGAGUAAUACAUCGGAACGUGCCCAGUCGUGGGGGGAUAACUACGCGAAAGCGUAGCUAAUACCGCAUACGAUCUACGGAUGAAAGCGGGGGAUCGCAAGACCUCGCGCGAUUGGAGCGGCCGAUGGCAGAUUAGGUAGUUGGUGGGGUAAAGCUCACCAAGCCGUCGAUCUGUAGCUGGUCUGAGAGGACGACCAGCCACACUGGGACUGAGACACGGCCCAGACUCGUACGGGAGCAGCAGGUGGGAAUUUGGACAGUGGGCGCAAGGCCUAGACUCCAGACCAUUCCGCGUCGCAGGACGUGGAACGGU